This 507-nucleotide ribosomal RNA is filed under the name Coccidula sp. CO824. RNAcentral's name for it is "partial 16S ribosomal RNA". It matches the Rfam family "Archaeal large subunit ribosomal RNA", at positions 1928 to 2671 of the family's 2987-position model. The record is from RNAcentral. Lineage: Eukaryota; Metazoa; Arthropoda; Insecta; Coleoptera; Coccinellidae.
UUUUUGAUUUUAAUUUAAAGUAGGGCCUGCCCMCUGAAAAUUUUGAAGGGCCGCAGUAUUUUGACUGUGCAAAGGUAGCAUAAUAAUUAGUUUUUUAAUUGAAAGCUGGAAUGAAUGGUUUGAUGAGAAAAAAUCUGUCUCAAUUUAAAUUUUUUAAAAUUUUAUUUUUAAGUUAAAAAGCUUAAAUAUCUUUAAAAGACGAGAAGACCCUAUAGAGUUUUAUUUUAAAAAAAUUGAAUUAAUUAAGAAUUUUAAAGUUUAAAUUUUAUUAAAAUUUGGUUGGGGUGACUAAAAAAUUAAAUUAACUUUUUUUUUAUUUUUACAUUAAUUAAUGAUUUUUUGAUCCAUAUAAUUUGAUUAAAAGAUUAAAUUACCUUAGGGAUAACAGCGUAAUUUUUUUUUAGAGUUCUUAUCGAAAAAAAAGGUUGCGACCUCGAUGUUGGAUUAAAAUUAAUUUUUGGUGUAGAAGCUAAAAAAUUAGGUCUGUUCGACCUUUAAAAUUUUACA